RNAcentral lists this ribosomal RNA (422 nucleotides) under uncultured bacterium. RNAcentral describes it as "bacterial SSU rRNA". It matches the Rfam family "Bacterial small subunit ribosomal RNA", at positions 355 to 774 of the family's 1533-position model. The record is from RNAcentral.
UGAGGAAUAUUGGUCAAUGGGUGCAAGCCUGAACCAGCCAUCCCGCGUGAAGGACGACUGCCCUAUGGGUUGUAAACUUCUUUUGUAUAGGGAUAAACCUACCCUCGUGAGGGUAGCUGAAGGUACUAUACGAAUAAGCACCGGCUAACUCCGUGCCAGCAGCCGCGGUAAUACGGAGGGUGCAAGCGUUAUCCGGAUUUAUUGGGUUUAAAGGGUCAGUAGGCGGACUUAUAAGUCAGUGGUGAAAGCCUGUCGCUUAACGAUAGAACUGCCAUUGAUACUGUAAGUCUUGAGUAUAUUUGAAGUAGCUGGAAUAAGUAGUGUAUCGGUGAAAUGCAUAGAUAUUACAUAGAACACCAAUUGCGAAGGCAGGUUACCAAGAUAUAACUGACGCUGAGGGACGAAAGCGUGGGGAGCGAACA